CCCUGUAACCAUAGAUAUAUAACUCUUUCAAAUUAGUGUGAGGUCGUAACUUGUCAAGUAUAUCUCUUGUCAUUUGGGAGUCAACUGUAUUCUCCUCUUUAUUCAAUGACCAACUCAGCGUCAUAGAAUCAAUGCCAUCCUUAUCAAACAUUCUUGCCAUCGAAGCUUCAUUGCUGUUGACCACAUUCUCCAACUUGUCAAUGGAAAUAGAUUGCUGUAGAUCUACGAGUGCUCCCAAUUCUUUAAUCUUGUUUUCUUCAUGCUUUCCAACAACAUAAUCACUUAAAAAUUGCAAAUUUUUUAAUUGGCUCAUGCCUUUCGGCAUCUCACGUAACUGAGUCCCUCUAAUAUCAAGAUGGCGCAAAUUUACAAGGUCUUUCAUGCCAACAGGUAGCAUUUUCAGAUAACUACAGGAAUACAACUUCAAGGUCUGCAAGUUGUACAGGUUACCCAACGACUCUGGCAAUGUCACAAUGUUGGUGAAAGAGAGAUCCAAGUAACGCAAAUGAAUCAAUUCACCUAUUGAAUCAGGCACUGACUUAAGAGGAAAGCUUUUUAACGACCAAGCUCUCAGGUACUUCAACUGUGACAACAUGAUACAAGGUGCAUUUUCCAUAUUGAAUGGAAUCCACUCGUCCAAAUUGAUUUCAAGAAAUGUCCUUGUAUGUUUUACUCUAUCACAAUCUCCCAAAAGAUUUGACAUUGGAUAAUUGCCUUUGGGAUUAUGUGACAAAUGACGAGCUUUAAUAUCAACCUCAACUGCAUUCAGAAGCUCUUCAGCUCUGAAAUAGAAUUCUCCAGCACAUGUCAUUGCUAAAUCAUGAACAAGAUCAUGCAUCACGAAUUUAUUUUCCUUGGUACUAUGAGGUUGCAAAAAUGAUCUCGCAAUUAAUUCAUCAAAAUAUUCACCACCAACUUCUUCUAUAGUCUUUUUUUCUACUGGUUGCAAAAAAUUCUCUGCCAUCCAUAACAGCAUCAAUUCAUCCUUAGUAAAUUCAUAGUCCUUGGGAUACAAGGAACAAUAAACAAAGCACUGCUUCAAAUAUGAAGGAAGAAAAUAAUAACUUAUCAUUAACGCUGGAACAACAUUUAUUCUGUCAUUGGAGAGUUUCCAGAUUUCACUCUUCAGUAAAUGAUUCCAAUAUCUGAUAUCAGAAUUUCCACGCAAUAUGCCUCCAAGGGCUUGAGCUGCCAAGGGCAAUCCAUCACACUUCUUUACGAUAUCUCUGCCGAUUUUUUCCAGGGUUGGAUUCUCCACAGAAACAGUUGACAGACGUGCAUGCUUUGUAAACACCAACCGACAAUCUUCAUCGGACAAUGAUCUUAGUUCAUGAGGUGAAACAGUCUGCACUAAAGAAGCCACAUUUUUAUUUCUAGUAGUUAUGAGAAUUUUACUUCCCUUAACCCCUUUUUGAAAAGGUUUUAGAAGCUUAUCCCAAUCACUAUAAUUUUCAUUCCAUACGUCGUCCAAGACAAUGAAGAACUUUUGCCUCGACAACUUUUCCUUUAAAUCAAGCUGAAGUAAAUUCAAAUCUGUCAAGUUACAAGAACUUGAAGUUAUUGCCUCGAUUACAGUCUUGGUGACCUUGACAACAUCAAACUCUUCUGACACACAAACCCAACCUCGGAAAUCAAAAUUCUCCUUCACUUUGUUAUCGUGGUAAAGCAAUUGGGCCAAAGUAGUCUUUCCUAUUCCGCCCAUGCCCACAAUGGGAAUGACAGAUAAAUCACCAUCAGCAGCAGCAUCAUCAUCUAACAACAGUUUCAGUAGGGCCUCCUUGUCUUCUUUCCUGCCACAUAUCUCCGAUGGUUCAACAAGACAUGUUGAUGGAAUUCUCCAUGACAUGUCCACCUUGGCACUCUCCUUCAGACGAAGAUAAUUUUUGCGUCUUACAACAGACUCUAGUGUGCCAACUAUUUUUUCCAUGUCAUCAGUAUCUUCAAUAUGUGAAUCAACAGCACGAGACCAGUAAGAAGAGUUACCUGGAUCUUUUUGAGUGGCAGCAAUAGCGGCUUUAGUGGAGAGUUCGUCGAGCAAGUCAUCAGCCAUAUAGAGAGCAUCUUGAAGAUCAACAAGCCACUUCUUCACUUUCUUGUCAGUGAACUGCUUCAGCUCAGCAUCAUCAAGAACAGGUCCAACAUCAUACAGACAAUUCUGCAACCUAACAAGCAAGUUGCUCCUUUCGAGGAAAGAGUCGUCUUCUUCAAGUAUUGAAGUCAGGUUGUCCAAAACAGCAUCAACAAAGGGAGAGAGGUAAGCUCCACCAUAAAGUUUUUCGGCCAUGGUUGAAUCUCAAGUGAAGCAGAUCAGAUGGGAUCAGAACAAAGAAAGAAAGUCAAUGGAUGAGGGAAGUGUUUGCUUUGUGUGGUAGGUGAAGUUGAUUUGACGAGGUUUAUGGUCUUCGGACAAAAUGAUGGGAUGGUGUUAUGGAAGAUAAACAAUUGGUUAAUGUAUUGGUGAGUGUUAUAAGAAAGUCUUAUUUUUUUAUUGGACAAACAUUGUUGUUAUAUUAAUUUAGUAAUUUAAGAACAAGCUGUAACGCAUUACCAAUUUGUAAACUAAAGUAAAAACUAUCUGUGGUUGCACUUUAUCAAACUCACUGGUCACUAGAUGAUAGAGUUAGAGUCAGUUAAAACUUAACUCACUCAAUUUUAUUUAGCUUUUUUAAUUUUUAUUAUCUCUAAGUGAUUUAUAUGAUAGAAUUUCACUUCAUGUAUUCUUUCUCUUUUUGUCAACAGAUUUAAAAGACUAUAUCAAAUAUCAAUUACUCUACUGUAUUAUUAGAAAGGGACAGAGCAAUAAUGGCAAUAAUGUAUGCAUGUAGAUAGUAUUUUUGGUAAUUAAAAUGAUUGCUAACUAAUAUUAUCUUAUUGUCUUAAACCUUAUUUGUUACUUUUUUGUGCCUUUUUCUUUUACGUAAAUUAUGGCAAGACAAAGCGUUUUAUUAUUUACAUGUAAAUCAUUUUAUUCCAGGAAGAUUUACAUAAAAGAAAAGAAAGACAAAUAUAUAACCCGUUUUCCUUUAGCUGACAGAAGUAUCUCAGACUAGAACUGAGCUUGGUGGAAUCGAAGAAAUGAUGGAGAAGAGUGGGGACGUGAGUAGAAGAAGCAGAGAGAAAGAGAGGGAAGCAGAGGGAGUACGAAGACAGAGUCUUUUUGUCAUGACCCAAAAUGAGCCAUGACUGGCUGGCGUUCAGGUGAAUAAUCCUAUAUCAAGCUUAACAUACUCAAAUAUAAAUUGAAAAAAAAUGUUACAAAUAUUUUACAAGUUCUAAAAUAAAUAAUUAUACAUUUUUAACAAAAAAUUAAAAUAAUUAAAAAUAGUUGAAUCCUGUCUGUGACAUAGGAAGCAUAUAACAUCUAGGAAUUUGACAAAGAACAGGAAUUCAGUGCAGAUCGUUACUCUUGAAUAGAAAGUCUCACAUAGUCAAGUAUUUGUUCCUGAAUAAUAUUUUUAGAAAAACGGGGUGAGUUUUGCAACUCAGUAACUAGACAAUACAUCUAUAAUCGACAUGAGACCAUAUAAAUAUUAUUAUCAAAGUAAUUUUAAUUAGAAAAUAGUAGUUGAUAAUCAUAAGUGAAUCAAUAAGGGAGUUCUCAUACAGAAAUCAAAUCAAAAGUCCACACUUGGGCAGCUCCACCUCUAUGGCUAGCCCUUUUCUCUAGUGUGUUCGUACAGAAUAACAGAUCAAACAUGUGGCCUACACGUUAGGCUAGCAACGCCCCCUACUAGUUAAGGUCUGAGCCAGAUGCAUCUAGGUUAACGUCAUAACGACCGUUAACUACAAUUUUCUAAUACGAGCCUCCCAAACCAAUUCAAAGCAUAUAGUUUCAAAUACAAUAAAUCUUUGAUCUUUCAAAUAUAUAGAAUAUCGAAUCAAAUCAAAUUAGAUAAUACUUUCUCGUCAGAAAUAUUUUCCAAUCAUAAGAACAUAUAUAUAGUCUCAUGUAAAAUUUUUAAAGUAUGAGAUUCAAAAUACAAUAAAUCUUUGAUCUUUCAAAUAUAUAGAAUAUCGAAUCAAAUCAAAUUAGAUAAUACUUUCUCGUCAGAAAUAUUUUCCAAUCAUAAGAACAUAUAUAUAGUCUCAUGUAAAAUUUUUAAAGUAUGAGAUUCAUAAAGAUAAUUAUUCAACUAUAAUAUAUCAAUCAUUCUAAUCAAAUCAAAGUUCUUUAACAAUAGUUUUUCUAAAUAUAAUUAAAAACUCAGAAUAGUAUAAACCAAAAACUUAAAGGUUAUAAAUGUAAAGUCUACUCACAAAAUGCUCCUAAGGGACCAAAGAGAUCAAACUCGGAGUGCCGGAUUAAAGGGUGAAGAUGGUUAAAGUAGAAUGGAACGAAACAACACAAAAUUUGGGACCGGGGCAAUAGCAACAACAAUUCUCACUACAGCAACAUCAACAACAGCCCUAGUAGCAACAUGGGGAAACCACAGUAACAAUAGCAGCAAAUCCAAUAGCUUACGAUGGUUUAAAAUUGAGCAAAGAGGGAAAGGACAGAGUCAAUAGUAGCUUUACGGCAAGACAAGGCAAAACAAGCUUAGUCUUGCCAAAGGAAACAAGGGGAUGGAGCAUUAGCAGCUCCGAUGACCCUCUCGCAGUGAAGCAGAGUAGAGGCGGAGGUAGCUUCGGGUUGCACCAGCGGUGAGCUUUGGCGACGGCAAUGUCUCCCUCAGACGCGGCCCCUUCGACGGCGACGACCGUAACUCCAGCAACGAGUCCCAGUAGCGACGAUAGUGGUGCUGCCUUCUCUCUAUCCAUCUCUCUCCUUGUUCGUCUCUCUCUCUCUGCCUCUAUAACUCGACGGCGGUGACGGUUUCCCAUUGCUUUGCCAGUGCCGUCAUCUUCUUCUCUUCUCCCCUCAGUGUCUUUCUCACUCCCUCUUCUCUAUUUCUUUCUUUUUCUUUUGUUCAGACUUCAGAGUGUGUGUUUGUGUGAGAGUGAGUAAGUGUGUGGGUUUAAUUUAGGAAUUAGGGUUAGAAUUUGGGAAAAAGAAUACGCGUAGUGUAGGAAUUUUGAUAAAAUUAGAGGGUAGGGUAGUAAUAAAAGGAAUUAAAUAUAAAAUGUUUUAAAAAAAGCUUGGGAUGUUACAUUCUGCCCUCUUUGAAAAAAUUUUCGCCUUCUAAAAUUGAUAUAAUAUAAAAAAUGUUACAUGGUUUUAGCUUUUAACCAAACAUGAGAAAGAAGUAUAAUCGGGUGUAAAAGUUACAAGAUAGGUGUGUGUUAAAACGAUACGGUUGACAUUCACCGACUCUCGUUCCUCUGACAACUCAGAUAUACAUAGCACUCUUCACUUCGUUCGUCAAUCUCUUCAAAAUACAAUCUGACUUCAUAAUCUCCUUGGUUCUGUAGUAUAUAUCCAUGGAAGCAACCAGUCUUAUGUGAAGUCUUAGAAUUACAACUUUCUGAACUUCAGCACCGAUAAGCUGUGUCCUAAUGAACUAACGUAUCGCUUGCUAUCCGGGAAUUGCACGACAUCGAAACAAGCACGAAUUUAGUCAAAAGGAUUCAAAACUUAAGAAGAGAAGAGCAAAUAUCACAUAUGGUGCUCACAUGAACGUGAAAGGAUGCUUAAGAUUGCAAUUAAGCAAUGGUGUACAGAAAUAAUGAAGUGUGUCAGAAAGAGAACCAAUUAUAUCUUAACAAAAAAAUUUGAAUCAACAAACUUUGAUAGAAAUAAUAAAAAAAGGUGUACUAGGCCAAAACAAGUUCAGGUUGAAUCAAAGAAGUACAAAGUUCACAAAGAAUGUAACCAAAGUCAAUGGCAAUUUUUACAUAGAUUUAAGAAAAUGAUUAGGGACACGAUCAGGCAAGAGAAGAAUCAAAUCAAAGACUUUUUCAAAGAAGAUCUAGAACAAGAAUUCGAGGAGAAUACUAGAAGAUAUGAUGUAUCACAGUAAAGCAAGUUCAGAUUACAUCAAGAAGUUAUAUAGUUCACGUAAAGGAAUGAAACGUCAACACCUGUGUUGUUGAGAAUUUAUGGGAUAGCCAAAAGCAUGAUCAAAUCGAGAUAUGCAUAAGAUGUAGGACAUGAAACAAAAUAAUCAAAUUUCAUUCAACAAGAAUUGAAACAAGAAACUCCUGACAUGAAAUAUAGAGGAAUGAACGAUACGUCAAAUCACGCAGCACGAUUAUAACGCAUAUUUCAACACAAACUAUCCCAAGAAGAACACCUAACAUUCCCAAACUUAACGAUUACCAUUACUAAAAGAAACGAAGGAGUUUAGAACUACUAUUUCUCGCCGGUUAUAAUUUCUAGCCCUCUGUACGCAUCAUGCUCAACAAUCAUACCACAAGAUGUGACAACACUAGAUAGAAUAUAGAAUUUUCUUUUUACAACAAAACUAGAAAGCGAACAAAACAAAACAAAGCCCAGCAGAACAAUAUCACCAUAGAAUAAGAGCCUUUAGAGCAUAAGUAAAUGUUGAAAUCACCGAAAAAAUUUCACCAUUUCCCUUAUUCCAUAACCAUUCCUCACAUCAUCAUCAAGACUCUAAAAAGGCCAAAAAUUAUGAGAAUAUUGCAAAUAACUGAGAUAGCAUAUUAGAAAAAAGACAUAGAUGUUGCAUCUAAAAUUAGAAGCUAGGAUAUAUAAAAAUAUAGUAUUACCUAGAGAUUUCUACUUCUAAACAUCAACAACAAUAACAAAACGAAAUAUUCAAACACAAUCAAUCAAAGCAUAGUAAUAAAGGAAAAAUUUAAAACGAGCAAAUGCAACAUAUGAAAAAAAAUCCGAAAUAAAUGAACCAACUAAAAAUAGGAAACUCAUGAAAAGAAAAGAAAAUAUUGAUAAAUUUUACAUUUCCAAGAUCAAACUAUGAUCAAUUCACACCCAUCAUUCUUAGAUUAACAAGUUAUGAUGAAACAACUCAAGAUUAAAUCCAGUGACUCAAAAUGAACCCAUCGGUUUAUUUAGAGUUUAGACAUUUCUCCUUGCUCCUCAAUUUAAGUCUCUGCAAAAUUGGCUAUCACCUUUUUUUUCAAGUGCAUUAACAAAGAACAGUUCAUAUUUAUAUAUAAUCAAAAAGGUAGGAACGUGUAUGAAUUUAGGGACAAUGUUUUUGUUUUCCUGCCCUUACAACCAAAGAGAACUUGAAACACACUAUUUUGAAAUUGACCGCAUUUCUAUCAAUCUAUUUUUCUUUGUUUGUGUAUUCAACCUUUUUUCUUGAACACAUCUCAAAUAUAUAAUUCCAUGAACAUGAAACCAGCAAGGAGAAAACAAAACAAUAUUCAAUCAGGACCAUACAUAGUAGAAACGUACAAUUAGAGACAAUCACCUAAAAUUCAAAUAACCCCUUAUUCAAUCUAGCCACACAAAUAGAUUCCUAAAAACCAGUAGUUGCUGAAUAUACUCCCUAAUUUGUUGUCAUCAUUUCAAAAGCCUUAACCUCUUCAUUCAAGUAUCAUAUAUCUCUUAAAAAUCUCUUGAAAUAACUAAUUUCUUUCACAAGCAUCACACUUCGCAGAAAUCAUCAGAAUUAGGCAACAAUAGAAAAAUCAUAGAACUCACAACAAUUUCAUGACAAAAAAGUCAUGUCCAGCAUCACAAUACCAUAAUAGAACCAGAUCAUCAAACUAGAAAAAUUCAAAUACACUUCUAGAUUAGAAAGACCUUCGAUCCAUCUAAUUAAUCACCCAAAUAAUUCAUUAUAGCUAAGCAAAUAAAAUCAUCAAUUUGACAAACAACAAUAACACUUCAUUCAUAUGUUCAUCGCAUAAUUCUUUUCCUUGAGCAAUUGAAUAACAGUUUUCAAGGUUAUUGAUUCAAAAGAAAGAAUCACGAGUGGUUCAAAAUUAUGUUAGUUUCAAAGAUCAUCAACAUAAGAAGAACAAACUUGUUUUAUCGAAAUCCAGAACAAAGUAUCUCAAUCAGCAACUAAGUAAAUACACAAUCCACAUAUCUAAUUACAGUUCUAUAAAAGGAAUAAGAUAAUAAUUCACAGCAAAAACAUAUAAAAUCUUUUAGAUCAUGGAUGAAAUCUUGAAAUCGGAAACCAUAUAAAACAACAUAAAGAUGAAGAAAACUAAAGCAUAUAUUCACAAAAGCGAGGAUGAGUAGAACCAGCUAGAAGAUAGAGAAUUGAAACCGAAACCAUUGUACCAACGCGUUCAAAAUAACCUACUAAAGCAUAGGUUAAGAUUGGGAAUAAGAAAAUGAUAGGAGUAGCAAGAAGUGGCAGAGGACGCAAGAUCACAAUAACCAAAAGACAACAAUGACAUAGAGAGGACAAAGAUGACAUUCCUAUAGGCCUCUGAUAGUAUCACAAUUCGUACAAAUAGGCGCGCUUCUAUUCAUACAAUUUUGAUCCUACUAUAGGACACUUGCUCCAUAUUUCACAGGUUAACCUAAAGCUUUAAUACCACUUUGUCACGACUCAAAAUGAGCCAUGACCGGCGCUCAGUAGAAUAUUCUCAUAGCAAGUCUAACAUACUCGGUGCAUAUCAUUACUCUUGAAUUCUCACCUAGUCAAGUAUUUGUUCUUGAAAAAUAUUUAGAAAAAAUGGGAAGUUUUGCAUCUCAGUGAUUAGACAAUACAUCUAUAAUCAAUAUGAGACCAUAUAAACAUUAUUAUCAAAGUAAUUUUAAUUAGAAAAUAAUAGUUGAUAAUCAUAAGUGAAUCAAUAAGGAAUUUCUCAUACAGAAAUCAAAUCAAAAGUCCACACUUGGGCGGCUCCACCUCUAUGGGUAGCCCUUUCCUCUAGUGUGUCCGUACGGAAUAUGCCUCUAUAACUCGACGGCGGCGACGGCUUCCCUUUGCUUCGCCAGUGCCGUCAUCUGCUUCUCUUCUCCCCUCGAUGUCUUUCCCACUCCCUCUUCUUUAUUUCUUUCUUUUUCUUUUGUUCAGAUUUCAGAGUGUGUGUGUGAGUGAGUAAGUGUGUCCGAGUUUAAUUUUGGAAUUAGGGUUAGGAUUUGGUAAAAACAAUAAGUAUAGUAUAGGAAUUUUGAUAAAAUUAGAGGGUAGGAUAGCAAUUAAAAAAAUCAAAUAUAAAAUAUUUCAGAAAAAGCUUGGAAGAACGUUACACUUUUGGGAGAAAUUAGAAGAGUGAAUCCCUUCAUUCUCUUCUCCCUUCCUAUUUUCUAUAUAUAAAGUAUAAACAUUCAUCAUAUGCACACCGAUUUGCAAUGCAAUGAUUAUGUGGCAGCCAUGCUAGAUUGCAUUAUGAUAAAUGAAAUAAACAUGUAAAUAUGUGUUAUACAAUUCACUUAUUUUGGGAAAUUAGUGUAGAGGUGGUUGUCUUCCAUUUAUUAAUCCUUAGGAGGAAGCCAUAUCAGUAAAAGAGACAGAAAAUGAAGAAAAAUGUACUUAAAUUUUAAUUAGGGUUGAGGAUCAUUUAAAAUUGGGAUUAUUAUGCAUUAUGAUGCCACAAGUGAUAGAUUAUAAAGUAGAAACAACUUUUCCUUGUGAUUCUAAAGUUAUAUAUACUCAGCCGUCGGUGAAAUUCUUGAUUGAAUGAAAUUAUAUUAUCAGAUAAACAUGUCCUGUGAUAUAUUGUAAAUUAUUUUUGGCUAACCAAUGAAAAACUCUUCUGCAGAAGAUUGCAAAAUUUCAGGUGAAGCACAGAAGCCUCAAGCAACAUUAUCUUUACAACCAUCAAUUGCUGACCCUUGGAUUCACUCAGCCUAUGAUACAAAACUACAAAAUUCUCAAAAAAUAAAAGAAAUUCAUUCUUGGUAACUUAAUUAUUCAUGGAUACAUAAGUUUAAUUUCUUGUUCUUUCCUUUCUAGGUAUGUGCAGAAUAUCCUUACAUGGAUCAAUUUUAUGGACUCUUCUCAGCUUAUGCACCUCAAAUUUCGGUUUGUAUUUUAUCUCAAAUCUCAAAUCUCAAAUCUAUAUAUCUAUAUAUUAAUCAUAUCAGUGUUCUUGUAAUGCAUGUCUCUCCAUACAAGAAUCUAAAUUAUAGUUAUGAAUGUGGAAGGUAACACUAUUAACACAAAAAAAAUAACAUUGUAAAUGUAAAUCAGUAAUUUUUAAAAAUAUUUGUUACUUUAAAAAUUUUGCAUAUUAACAAUUCAGUGUAUCUGAAUACAAUUUGCAUCAAGAUACUCGCCGUUAACUACGAUUUUUUAAUACGAGCCUCUCAAACCAAAUCAAAACAUAUAGUUUCAAAUACAAUAAAUCUCUAAUCUUUCAAAUAUAUAGGGUAUCAAAUCAAAUCGAAUUAGAUAAUACUUUUUCAUAAGAAAUUUUUUUAAUCAUAUUUUUUCAAUCAUAAAAACAUAUUUCACAAUUUCGAAGUACAUGAAUGACAAUAAAUACUUCAAUACUUCAAACGUAUAUAUUCGAAUAAAAUCAAAUAUGAUAAAAUAAUAUAAAAUUUUAUCCAACAUAUAUAUAGUCUCAUGUAAAAUUUCUAAGGUAUGAGAUUUAUAAAAAUAAUUAUUCAACUAUAAUAAAUCAAUCACUCUAAUCAGAUCAAAGUUUUUUUAACAGUAGUUUUUUUAAACAUAAUUAGAAACUCAAAAUAGUAUAAACCAAACACUUACCUAUUAUAAAUAUAAAUCCUACUCACAACGUGUUCUUAAGAGAUCAAAAGACCAAAUUCGAAGUGUCAAAUUAAAAGGUAAAAAUGGUUAACAUAGAAUGAACCGAAAGAACACAAAAUUUAGAAUAGCAACAACAAUUCUCAGUUUUUAACUGUAGCAACAUCAACAACAUCCCUAGUAGCAACAUGGGAAAAGCACGGUAAUAAUAGCAGCAAAUCCAACCGUUUAUGAUGAUUUAAAACUGAGCAAAGACAGAAAGAGAAAUCAAGUAGGAUAGGACACAGUUAAUAGUGGAGCUUUAUGGUAAGACAAGGCAAAACAAGCUUAGUCUUAUGGUCUUACCAAAGGAAACAAGGGAUGGAGCAUUAGCAGCUCCGGUGACCCUGUCCAGCGUCAACGGUGAAGGACACGGCAGAAUAACGAUGGCGGCGGUUCCUCUCCUUUGGCAGUGACUCCCGCAGCAGCACUACAAGCUCUGACAAACAGGGAGACGCAGGGGUCAACCGCAGUGAAGCAGAGUAGAGGCGGAGGUAGCUUCGAGUUGCACCAGCGGUGAGCUUCGGCGACGGCAAUGUCUCCUUCCGACGCGGCCCCUUCGACGGCGACGACCGUAACUCCAGCGACGAGUCCCAGCAGCGACGAUAGUGGUGCUGCCUUCUCUCUAUCCAUCUCUCUCCUUGUUCAUCUCUCUCUCUCUCUCUGCCUCUAUAACUCGACGGCGGCGACGGCUUCCCUUUGCUUCGCCAGUGCCGUCAUCUGGAAGAAAAUAAUAACUUAUCUUUAACGCUGGAACAACAUUUAUUCUGUCAUUGGAGAGUUCCCAGAUUUCACUCUUCAGUAAAUGAUUCCAAUUUCUGAUAUCAGAAUUUCCACGCAAUAAGCCUCCAAGGGCUUGAGCUGCCAAGGGCAAUCCAUCACACUUCUUUACGAUAUCUCUGCCGAUUUUUUCCAGGGUUGGAUUAUCCACGGAAACAGUUGACAGACGUGCAUGCUUUGUAAACACCAACCAACAAUCUUCAUCGGACAAUGAUCUUAAUUCAUGAGGUGAAACAGUCUGCACUAAAGAAGCUACAUUUUUGUUUCUAGUGGUUAUUAGAAUUUUACUUCCCUUAACCCCUUUUUGAAAAGGUUUUAGAAGCUUAUCCCAAUCACUAUAAUUUUCAUUCCAUACGUCGUCCAAGACAAUGAAGAACUUUUGCCUCGACAACUUUUCCUUUAAAUCAAGCUGAAGUAAAUUCAAAUCUGUCAAAUUACAAGAACUUGAAGUUAUUACCUCGAUUAUAGUCUUGGUGACCUUGACAAUAUCAAACUCUUCUGACACACAAACCCAUCCUCGUAAAUCAAAAUUCUCCUUCACUUGGUCAUCGUGGUAAAGCAAUUGGGCCAAAGUAGUCUUUCCUAUGCCGCCCAUGCCCACAAUGGGAAUGACAGAUAAAUCACCAUCAGCAGCAUCAUCAUCAUCCAACAACAGUUUGAGUAUGGCCUCCUUGUCUUCUUUCCUGCCACAUAUCUCCGAUGGUUCAACAAGACAUGUGGAUGGAAUUCUCCAUGACAUGUCCACCUUGGCACUCUCCUUCAGACGAAGAUAAUUCUUGCGUGCUACAACAGACUCUAGUCUUCGAACUAUGUUUUCGAUGUCACCAGUAUCUUCUAUAUAUGAAUCAACAAGGCAAGACCAGGAGGAAGAGUUACUUGGAUCCCUUUGAGCGGCAGCAAUAGCGGCUUUAGUGGAGAGUUCGUCGAGCAAGUCAUCAGCCAUAAAGAGAGCAUCUUGAAGAUCAACAAGCCACUUCUUCACUUUCUUGUCACUGAACUGCUUCAGCUCAGCAUCAUCAAGAACAGGUGCAACAUCAUACAGACAAUUCUGCAACCUUCCAAGCAAGUUGUUCCUUUCGAGGAAAGAGUCGUAUUCUUCAAGUAUUGAAGUCAGGUUGUCCAAAACAGCAUCAACAAAGGGAGAGAGGUAAGCUCCACCAUAAAGUUUUUCAGCCAUGGUUGAAUCUCAAGUGAAGUAGAUCAGAUGGGAUCAGAACAAAGAAAGAAAGUCAACGGAUGAGGGAAGUGUUUGCUUUGUGUGGUAGGUGAAGUUGAUUUGACGAGGUUUAUGGUCUUCGGACUAAAUGAUGGGAUGGUGUUAUGGAAGAUAAACAAUUGGUUAAUGUAUUGGUUAAAAAAGGUAUGUAACUCUCCAUGAAUUAUGAUACUUUAUGCUGCCUUCCCAUGGCUUCUUAUUUUUUUAUUGGACAAACUUUGUUGUUAUAUUAAUUUAGUAAUUUAAGAACAAGCUGUAACGCAUUACCAAUUUGUAAACUAAAAACUAGCUGUGGUUGCUCUUUAUCAAACUCACUCAAUUUUAUUUAGCUUUUUCAAUUUUUAUUAUCUCCAAGGAAUUUAUAUGAUAGAAUUUCUCUUCAUGUAUUCUUUCUCUUUUUGUCAACAGAUUUAAAAGACUAUAUCAAAUAUCAAUUACUCUACUGUAUUAUUAGAAAGGGACAGAGCAAUAAUGACUUUCAAAUAUGCAUGUAGAUAGUAUUUUUGGUAAUUAAAAUGAUUGCUAACUAAUACUAUUUUAUUGUCUUAACUCUUAAACCUUAUUUGUUACUUAUUUGUCACUUUUUCUUUUAUGUAAAUUAUGGUUAGACAAAGCGUUUUAUUAUUUAUAUGUAAAUUAUUUUAUUUUAGGAAGAUUUACAUAAAAGAAAAGAAAGACAUAUAUAACCCGUUUUCCUUUAGCUGACAAAAAUAUACUCAGACCAGAACUGAGCUUGGUGGAGGCGAAGAAAUGAUGGAGAAGAGUGGGGAUGUGAGUAGAAGAAGCAGAGAGAAAGAGAGAGAAGCAGAGGGAGUAUGAAGACAGAGCCUUUUGGGAGAAAUUAGAAGAGUGAAACCCUUCAUUCUCUUCUCCCUUCACAUUUUCUAUAUAUAAACAUUCAUCAUAUGCACAGCCAAUGGUUAUGUGGCAGCAUAUGUUGAUUGCUCUUGAUAAGGUUUUGAACUAGUCCAAUUUGUUGAUAGGCACCAAACAGUAUCCCAUUAACUAAGCAAAAAUAAAUUUAUCUGCAAAACUUUAGUUCAGGUGUCUGAAAUUUAUUAUCAAAUGGUAAAUUAUAUUUUUUCCAUUAAUUAAUUUGGAUGUCACGACUCAUGCAAUCAAUUUUUCUUAGAACAAUAAGAAGGACUGUAAUACAAUAUGAAAAUGGUGAAUAUUAUGAUGGCAAUGAAGGUGCAUUUCCUGUUCCUGGUAUUCUUGCAAGCUGGAGCUGCUGGACCAAAACAGCCAUGUCCAAGAACACUUGAUGAAUCUUAUUGAGACUCCUCUCUAUAUUAAUCACUGUGUUAUGCCUCUCUUCAAUCUCUUGGAUUGUGUCCAUGAUUGUUGUUCUCCCUUGUUUCUCAAUUUCUUUCUGCAACAAAGUUUAACCUUCCCAGUUCCCACCACAUAUAAGUUAUCAUAUUGUUUCUAUUCCAACAUUAUAAUAACUAAAUAAUGAAACAAUUUUCAUUCGAGCUUCCGAAUAAUGAUUACAUAGACCAACUUGCUUCUUCCACUAAUAAGCGACAACAAUUCUUGGAUAAACAAUUUACCAUCUUUCCAGGUACUUGUUAUUUUUUAUUUAUAAUAUUAUUGUUCUUUACAAUCUUUGUAUAUCAAUUAGUAAUUUAUAUGAAUUGUUAAAGUUAAUAAGAUAUAGUUUUGAUUAGUAAUUGACGAUUUCAUAUAUACAAGUGCUAGUUAUGCUUCAUAUUUUUGGCACAAAAAAAUUGGGAGAUAGAUAUAAUAAUCAUGUUAGAUUGCAUUAUGAUAAAUUAAAUAAACAUGUAAAUAUGUGUUAUACAAUUCACUUAUUUUGGGGAAUUAGUGUAGAGGUGGUUGUCUUCCAUUUAUUAAUCCUUAGGAGGAAGCCAUAUCAGUGAAAGAGACCGAGAAUGAAGAAAAAUGUACUUAAAUCUUAAUUAGGAUUUAGGAUAAUUUAAAAUUGGGAUUAUUAUGCAUUAUUCUACCACAAGUGAUAGAUUAUAAAGUAGAAACAACUUUUCCUUGUGAUUCUAAAGUUAUAUAUUCUCAAGCCAUACUAGAUUGUUGAUGGAAGGAAAUUAUAUCAUCAGAUAAAACGCCCUAUGUUAUUGUAAAUUAUCUUUAGCAGCUAACCAAUGAAAAACUCUUCUGCAGAAGAUUGCAAAAUUUCAGGUGAAGCACAGAAGCCUCAAGCAACAUUAUCUUUGCAGCCAUCAAUUGCUGACCCUCGGAACCCUUUUGAGCUUGGAUUCACUCAGCCUAUGAUACAAAACUACAAAAUUCUCAAAAACUAAAAGAAAUUCGUUCUUGGUAACUUAAUUAUUCAUGGAAACAUAAGUUUCAUUUCUUGUUCUUUCCUUUCUAGGUAUGUGCAGAAUAUCCUUACAUGGAUCAAUUUUAUGGACUCUUCUCAGCUUAUGCACCUCAAAUUUGGUUUGUAUUUUAUCUCAAAUCUCAAAUCUAUAUAUCUAUAUAUAAAUCAUAUCAGUGUUCUUGUAAUGCAUGUCUCUACAUACAAGAAUCUAAAUUAUAGUUAUGAAUGUGGAAGGUAACAAUAUUAACACAAAAGUAAUAACAUUGUAAAUGUAAAUCAGUAAAUGACGGAAACUUUUCGCUUGAUAUUAAAUUAUAGUAUAAGUUGCAAGUACAUCUUCUAAAAUUAAGUCUGUUGUUGUAGUGCGUGUAUGUAUAGAUAUACGUAUCUUCCAGUAUUUAACAAUGGAUCUAUGCAUGUAUGUAACAUAUUUGAAUAAAGCAGGGGCUUAUGAUGCUGCCACUAAACAAGACAUCAGAUGAUGGACCAACUUACGUGAAUGCUAAGCAAUACCAUGGAAUCAUAAGGCGUAGGCAGUCAUGUGCUAAAGCUGUUCUUGCCAAUAAACUCAUAAAACGUUGCAAGCUUUGAGCAUUCAUCAAAUAAAACAAUUCAAUUAAUAAGCCAAUUUAAGCCGAGAAUGCAAAACUUUCUGUAUUAGAAAAAUAGCUGCAGUUUCUUAAACUGGAUUAGUUGAAUUUUUUAGUAAUAGAGUUAUGUUAUAAGUUGUUUGUGUUGCAGCCAUAUAUGCAUGAAUUGCGCCAUCUCCAACAAUGGAAAUGGCAAGAGUGGAAGUGAAGCAAACAAAAAAGGACUUGGCCAUCAACUACAUUCGAGUGGUUCUCAGAAUUCUGAAGUCCUACAAUCCUCGGCCGGAACCUUGAAUUCGUUAAAGGAAAUAAAUGGAAGCAGUCCAAACAUUUCAUCAGAGGUGACAAGCAUGUACUCAUCAAGAGGAGGAAUUGAUGGAUUUGCCAUCAAUCAUAUUGGAACUCCUAUGCACUCCUUUGCAGAUAUGAUGGACACUGGACAUGGACAUGGCAUGAUCAUGCCCCCGAAGAAAUGGGUUUCGGCUGAGGCCGGAAACUGCUGCAACCUUAAUGUUUGAUCUGGCAAGGAUAUUAAGCGAGUUUUGGUGUAGCAUUGCACCAAAAUCCUCGUAUCCUUGUCAGGCCAGAUGGAAAAUGCUAUUUUCCUUUCUGGUGCUCAGGCAACUCAUCCUUGGCUCAGUUAUAUCAAUUUUAAAAAUAUUUGUUACUUUAAAAAUUUUGCAUAUUAACAAUUCAGUGUAUCUGAAUACAAUUUGCAACAAGAUACAAUGAGUUAUUAAUAUAUAAAACUUCUAAAGUUACAGAUUUUUUAAAGUAGAUGGAGUAUAUAGUUAUAAUAUUAAAAUAUAAAUAGUUGUCUUUUUGCAGAGGCUUGAUAUUCUGAAGCAGAAAGACUAAUGAAUUAUGAUGUCUGUGUAUUGUGUUUAAAUAACGGCAUGAAUUUGUAGCAUUUUUAUGUGUGUGCUUUUUAUUAUCAUGUCUAGUUUUGGUGUUCUAUUUAUGAAUUUUUGACUUUGUCAAGUAAUGUAUAAAGUCUUCUUUGUUAGAAAUAAAAAUAAGAUAUUUGACAAAUGCAUAUUACAACAACUGGUUUCUUCUCCGUUGCUACUUUAGUUAUACUUUCUGCAUAAUUAACAAAAACACUUUGUCGAUGGAUAAUCUGUAUGAGAAGGUACAAGUGUAAAGUAAGGAAUGGAACAGCACAUGUAUAAGAAUGAUAAAAAAUGAAGAAUAAGAAUAUUGUAGAGAGAAUGAAGAAUGAAAAUUCGUAAGUCACUUUAUAUGCAGAGUAUAAAGCAUGAUGAAAAACAUAAAUAUAUUGAGGGAAUAAGAAUAAUGUUGUGUAUGUAUGUGUUGAAGUUGUUGGAUUACCAAAUCCAUCUGUAAUCAACUUGAAUGGCGGGGAUGUGGGAGAUUUUGGGCCAAAGCUGUGGAUCCUUCUUCUGACAUUGUUUGGCCAGCAAAGGGCUUCCUAAGAUGAUGAGUUGUAUUAGAGAGGCAGGCAGCUUUUCUCCCUCCAUAUUCUCCAACUUGGGACAUCCCAGAAUAGUUAAACUUUGGAGGGAGGUGAGGUGGGCAAGUCCCUUGCAUUCCAACGUCUCCACACUUUCAAUGACAAACAGUGUGAGAGACUCAAGCGAGGCAGGCAACCAACCUUUCUUUGGGAGCGACUUCACACUCUUGCCGUAUUCACCAUGAAUGGAAAGAUGAGUAAGCCCAUGAAAUUGCGAAUUCAUGAAUGCUGCAGAGCUCACCAGUUUCUCGCUGUAGCUGAUUUCAAGAGAUCUGAGGCUACGGUGUGGAUCCCCAUCCCCUGUAGGAGACAAAUCAACCUCUGGGCAACCCAGUAAUGUGAGAACCUCUAGCUGAGGUGCUGCCAUCCAUAGCGUUGACACAGAUUUCAAACUCCCACAAUGCGUGAUUCUUAAAUCGCGGAGAGAUGAAAGAGAGCGUGACACCACAAUACACUCCAUGUUUCCACAGUAGCUGAUAUCAACACGCACGAGAUUUGGAAAGGAAUCCAACAACGAAAAGGAUGUAACUGAAUCACAGCUGUUCUGUAUUGAUAGUUCGUGCAGCGAGUGAUGUUGCCCAUCCAUUUCAAAUUCUAAUUCUCUGCAAUAGAAUAUCGUCAAGUUCUGUAGUGAUGGGGGAAUAGCACUCACUGGAAACCAUAUGUGGGAGGAACAAUCUGCAAUGUAUAAAGACGUCAGGCAAUUCAGUUGCAUGUGCUUUAUGGCCUCUACCGCCGACUCCACGUGAUGGUUUCCUGCAAUUGAUAGCUCACGCAGUAAAGGAGGUAGCUCCCCAACUCUCACUUCAUUCCUGCCUUCUAUCCUUAAAGAGGUCAUGGCAGGAGAUGUUGGAACACACCAACUCAGCUGCUUGCAAUUAGUAAUCUCAAGUGAUUGCAAAGAUGGUAGAUGAUUGGGCAAAUCUCUUCUCAACAUGGGGACAGCUAUUUAUUGAAAGCUCCCGGAGUCUCGGAAACGCAUUGAACUCCAGUGAACGCCACUCCUUCCAGCAAGGCAUUGAAUAAAACGAAAGAGUUUCAAGCAUUGGGAAUGGUGGUGUCUCCAAACAAGAUUCACCAUUCUGGUUAAAGUAAAACUCAGCACCCACACUUUCCAGACUUUUAAAAUGUGAAAUUGAUAGGUGCUUCAACGACGGCAAUUGUCCAAGUGAAGGAAGCAUACAACAAUUCCGACAACAACCCAAAAAGGAAUCACCCAGUGUUAUUUUGGUGAUGUUGUAAUAGGAAGAAUGUCCCAACCAAUCUGGAAAUGUUGUACCCCUGUAACCAUAGAUAUAUAACUCUUUCAAAUUAGUGUGAGGUCGUAACUUGUCAAGUAUAUCUCUUUCCAUUUCGGAAUCAACUGUAUUCUCCUCUUCAUUCCACGACCAAGUUAACUUUAUAGAUUCAAUGCCAUCCUUAUCGGACAUUCUUGCCUCCAAAGCUUCACUGCUGUUCACCACAUUCUCCAAUUUGCCAAUGGAAAUUGAUUCGUGUAGAUUUGCAAGUGCUCCCAAUUCUGUGAUCUUGUUCUCUUCACGCUUCCCAACAACAUAGUCGCUUAAAAACUGCAAGUUUUUCAACUUGCUCAUGCCUUUCGGCAUCUCAUGCAAUGACCGAGUCCCUCUAAUAUCAAGAUGGCGCAAAUUUACAAGGUCUUCCAUGCGAACAGGUAGCAUUUUCAGAUUAUAGCAGGAAUACAACUUCAAGGUCUGCAAGUUGUACAGGUUACCCAACGACUCUGGCAAUGUCACAAUGUUGGUGAAAGAGAGAUCCAAGUAACGCAAGUGAAUCAACUCACCUAUUGAAACAGGCACUGACAGAAGAGGAAAGUUUUUCAACGACAAAGCCCUCAUGUACUUUAACUGUGACAACAAAAUACAAGGUGCAUUUUCCAUGUUAAAUGGG
Molecule: long non-coding RNA, 18790 nt
Filed under: Arachis ipaensis
Lineage: Eukaryota; Viridiplantae; Streptophyta; Magnoliopsida; Fabales; Fabaceae
Description: long non-coding RNA (AIPA_LNC000464)
Source: RNAcentral